AGGCCUCAUGUACACACACGCGCGUAUGUUUCAUCUAGGAUCUUGAUUUACUUGGAUAACUGUGGUAAUUCUAGAGCUAAUACAUGCAACAAAGCUCCAACCUCGCGGGAGGAGCGCAUUUAUUAGACCAAGACCAAUCAGGCUUUGCCUGGAAUCUGGUGACUCUGAAUAACUUUGCUGAUCACACGGUCUAGCACCGGUGACAUAUCUUUCAAGUGUCUGCCCUAUCAACUUUCGAUGGUAGUUUAUGUGCCUACCAUGGUUGUAACGGGUAACGGAGAAUAAGGGUUCGACUCCGGAGAGGGAGCCUGAGAAAUGGCUACCACAUCCAAGGAAGGCAGCAGGCGCGCAAAUUACCCACUCUCAGCUCGAGGAGGUAGUGACGAAAAAUAACGAGACGGUUCUCUAUGAGGCCCGUCAUCGGAAUGGGUACAAUUUAAACCCUUUAACGAGGAUCUAUUGGAGGGCAAGUCUGGUGCCAGCAGCCGCGGUAAUUCCAGCUCCAAUAGCAUAUACCAAUUCUGUUGCUGUUAAAAAGCUCGUAGUUGGAUCGAUUCCAAGGAUGGAGUCUGCCUGUAGGGCAUGUACUCCACUCUGAGGAUACUUUCGCUGGUCUUCUCAUGGUGCUCUUUACUGGGUGCCUUGGGUGGCUAGCACGUUUACUUUGAAAAAAUUAGAGUGCUCAAAACAGGCGUAACUGCCCGAAUAGUGGUGCAUGGAAUAAUGGAAUAGGAUCUCGGUUCUAUUUUGUUGGUUUUAGGAGCGCGAGAUAAUGAUUAAGAGGGACAGACGGGGGCAUUCGUACUGCGGCGUUAGAGGUGAAAUUCUUGGAUCGCCGCAUGACGAACAACGCGAAAGCAUUGCGCU
This 867-nucleotide ribosomal RNA is filed under the name Dracognomus tinae. RNAcentral describes it as "SSU rRNA". It matches the Rfam family "Eukaryotic small subunit ribosomal RNA", at positions 122 to 960 of the family's 1831-position model. Lineage: Eukaryota; Metazoa; Nematoda; Chromadorea; Desmodorida; Draconematidae. The record is from RNAcentral.